GAAUAUUGGACAGUGGGCGAAAGCCUGAUCCAGCCAUGCCGCGUGUGUGAAGAAGGUCUUCGGAUUGUAAAGCACUUUAAGUUGGGAGGAAGGGUUGUAGAUUAAUACUCUGCAAUUUUGACGUUACCGCCAGAAUAAGCACCGGCUAACUCUGUGCCAGCAGCCGCGGUAAUACAGAGGGUGCAAGCGUUAAUCGGAAUUACUGGGCGUAAAGCGAGCGUAGGUGGUUUGUUAAGUUGGAUGUGAAAUCCCCGGGCUCAACCUGGGAACUGCAUUCAAAACUGACUGACUAGAGUAUGGUAGAGGGUGGUGGAAUUUCCUGUGUGGCGGUGAAAUGCGUAGAUAUAGGAAGGAACACCAGUGGCGAAGGCGACCACCUGGACUAAUACUGACACUGAGGUGCGAAAGCGUGGGGAGCAAAC
RNAcentral lists this ribosomal RNA (422 nucleotides) under uncultured bacterium. RNAcentral describes it as "partial 16S ribosomal RNA". It matches the Rfam family "Bacterial small subunit ribosomal RNA", at positions 359 to 773 of the family's 1533-position model. The record is from RNAcentral.